Molecule: long non-coding RNA, 761 nt
Filed under: Nicotiana benthamiana
Lineage: Eukaryota; Viridiplantae; Streptophyta; Magnoliopsida; Solanales; Solanaceae
Description: long non-coding RNA (NBEN_LNC014254)
Source: RNAcentral
CUUGCCAUAACGCUGCUCAAUCUCUUGCCACAGUUUUUGUGCGGAUUCAAUAUAUAUCACGCUCUCUCUAAUUUAUGUAUCCAAGCUAUUUAGUAUCCAAGCAUUGACCAUAUCAUUACAAAGAAUCCAUGGUUCGAACAAAACAGAAUUUGCUCUAGGCUUAGGGAUAGUUCCAUUUAUAAUUCCUAACUUAUUUUUAUAUGACAAACCAAUCAGCAUGCUUCGUCUCCAUCCUCCGUACUCCGUCCCAUUAAAAUGCUUUGUAACCAAAACUGUACCAGUGUACCAGGAUAAUCAGAGGGAUACAAGUUUAAAGGAUGUGACGGCUCAACAAUACUAGAUGAAGCAGUAGUGGAAACAUUUGAAGCAUCAAUGUUAGGGGCCAUAGCAAAAUUACUUCGAGAAAAUUAGGGUUCUGAAAUUCACCAAACUAGAACUCACAGGAAACACAGUUAUAAUCAGAAGAAAAUUACCAAAUUUUCUGUGAAAUUGAAGGCAAUAAACUUCAAUUGGAAGAUAACAGAAAAUCUCCACCUCCGAGCUUCACCGGAAAAUCAUACUGAAUUACCACAAUAUCGUCGUCGAAAAAAAUCUUCAGAAAACAUAUAGGAUUAACAUCGACCCGCCGGAAAACAUGCGAGAUACAUCAUCCUUUUCUUUGAUACCAUGAAGACUUAUGGAUUCUUAACAAUGUAUGGACUUGGAGUAGAAGAGUAUAGAAGUUUACAUGACGUUCGAGAAAAAGAGAACAAUGAAGAAAU